GUGUCAUCGAGGAUAACGUAAGGGAAAAUAAUGAUAUUACCUUACUAUUAGUGUCGUCCAAGUACUCGUGCCAGAAGACUCGGUAAGGCGAGAGACGCAAACGUUAGUCGUCUUGAUCAGGCGUAAAGGGUUUGUAGGCGGCUUUAAGUAUCUUAUUUUUAGUUUACUAUUUUAAUGUUUAUAAUUAUAAUUGAAUUUUUAUUUCUCCUUCAUUUAUAAAUUUUACUAAAUUAAUAAUUUUACAUUAAAAAAAUAAGAAAGGAUCAAUUAAAGCUAGAAUCUAAAAGAGGUUAAAACAAUACUUUAGAAAGGAGUGCUAACCGUAGAUAAUGAGCAGAGUGUUAAGGGCGAAGGCAUUUAUCCAAUAAAGAUUGACGCUGAGAAACGAAGGUGAGGACAGAAAAAA
RNAcentral lists this ribosomal RNA (406 nucleotides) under Trichaptum abietinum. RNAcentral's name for it is "Hirschioporus abietinus partial small subunit ribosomal RNA". It matches the Rfam family "Bacterial small subunit ribosomal RNA", at positions 432 to 774 of the family's 1533-position model. Lineage: Eukaryota; Fungi; Basidiomycota; Agaricomycetes; Hymenochaetales; Trichaptaceae. The record is from RNAcentral.